This 253-nucleotide ribosomal RNA is filed under the name uncultured bacterium. RNAcentral's name for it is "partial 16S ribosomal RNA". It matches the Rfam family "Bacterial small subunit ribosomal RNA", at positions 524 to 776 of the family's 1533-position model. The record is from RNAcentral.
UACGUAGGGUGCGAGCGUUAAUCGGAAUUACUGGGCGUAAAGUGUGCGCAGGCGGCCGCGCAAGUCGAGUGUGAAAGCCCCGGGCUUAACUUGGGAAUUGCGCUCGAAACUACUUGGCUGGAGUGUGGCAGAGGAAGGUGGAAUUCCAGGUGUAGCGGUGAAAUGCGUAGAGAUCUGGAGGAACACCGAUGGCGAAGGCAGCCUUCUGGGCCAACACUGACGCUCAUGCACGAAAGCGUGGGGAGCAAACAGG